RNAcentral lists this ribosomal RNA (497 nucleotides) under uncultured bacterium. RNAcentral's name for it is "partial 16S ribosomal RNA". It matches the Rfam family "Bacterial small subunit ribosomal RNA", at positions 28 to 507 of the family's 1533-position model. The record is from RNAcentral.
GAUGAACGCUGGCGGCGUGCCUAAUACAUGCAAGUCGAGCGAACAGAUGAGGAGCUUGCUCCUCUGACGUUAGCGGCGGACGGGUGAGUAACACGUGGAUAACCUACCUAUAAGACUGGGAUAACUUCGGGAAACCGGAGCUAAUACCGGAUAAUAUAUUGAACCGCAUGGUUCAAUAGUGAAAGACGGUUUUGCUGUCACUUAUAGAUGGAUCCGCGCCGCAUUAGCUAGUUGGUAAGGUAACGGCUUACCAAGGCAACGAUGCGUAGCCGACCUGAGAGGGUGAUCGGCCACACUGGAACUGAGACACGGUCCAGACUCCUACGGGAGGCAGCAGUAGGGAAUCUUCCGCAAUGGACGAAAGCUUGACGGAGCAACGCCGCGUGAGUGAUGAAGGUCUUCGGAUCGUAAAACUCUGUUAUUAGGGAAGAACAAAUGUGUAAGUAACUAUGCACGUCUUGACGGUACCUAAUCAGAAAGCCACGGCUAACUACGUG